RNAcentral lists this unclassified non-coding RNA (232 nucleotides) under Ascomycota sp. RNAcentral's name for it is "partial contains small subunit ribosomal RNA, internal transcribed spacer 1, and 5.8S ribosomal RNA". The stretch from base 1 to 47 matches the Rfam family "Eukaryotic small subunit ribosomal RNA", at positions 1785 to 1831 of the family's 1831-position model. Lineage: Eukaryota; Fungi; Ascomycota. The record is from RNAcentral.
AAAGUCGUAACAAGGUUUCCGUAGGUGAACCUGCGGAAGGAUCAUUACAGAGUUCAUGCCCUUACGGGUAGAUCUCCCACCCUUGAAUACUAUACCUUUGUUGCUUUGGCGGGCCGCUUCGGCUACUGGCUCCGGCUGGUGAGUGCCCGCCAAAGGACCCCAAAACUCUGAAUAUUUGUGUCUGAGUACUAUGUAAUAGUUAAAACUUUCAACAACGGAUCUCUUGGUUCUG